UACGUAGGGGGCAAGCGUUGUCCGGAAUUAUUGGGCGUAAAGAGCGCGUAGGCGGUCCGAUAAGUCGGCUGUGAAAGUCAGGGGCUCAACCCUUGAAAGCCGGCCGAUACUGUCGGACUAGAGUCCGGAAGAGGCAAGUGGAAUUCCCGGUGUAGCGGUGAAAUGCGCAGAUAUCGGGAGGAACACCAAUGGCGAAGGCAGCUCACUACACAAUGAUUGACGCUGAGGCACGAAAGCGUGGGGAUCAAACAGG
RNAcentral lists this ribosomal RNA (253 nucleotides) under uncultured bacterium. RNAcentral's name for it is "partial 16S ribosomal RNA". It matches the Rfam family "Bacterial small subunit ribosomal RNA", at positions 524 to 776 of the family's 1533-position model. The record is from RNAcentral.